GAUGAACGCUGGCGGCGUGCCUAAUACAUGCAAGUCGAGCGAACAGACGAGGAGCUUGCUCCCCUGACGUUAGCGGCGGACGGGUGAGUAACACGUGGAUAACCUACCUAUAAGACUGGGAUAACUUCGGGAAACCGGAGCUAAUACCGGAUAAUAUAUUGAACCGCAUGGUUCAAUAGUGAAAUACGGUUUUGCUGUCACUUAUAGAUGGAUCCGCGCCGCAUUAGCUAGUUGGUAAGGUAACGGCUUACCAAGGCAACGAUGCGUAGCCGACCUGAGAGGGUGAUCGGCCACACUGGAACUGAGACACGGUCCAGACUCCUACGGGAGGCAGCAGUGGGGAAUCUUCCGCAAUGGGCGAAAGCCUGACGGAGCAACGCCGCGUGAGUGAUGAAGGUCUUCGGAUCGUAAAACUCUGUUAUUAGGGAAGAACAAAUGUGUAAGUAAAUAUGCACGUCUUGACGGUACCUAAUCAGAAAGCCACGGCUAACUACGUG
This 497-nucleotide ribosomal RNA is filed under the name uncultured bacterium. RNAcentral's name for it is "partial 16S ribosomal RNA". It matches the Rfam family "Bacterial small subunit ribosomal RNA", at positions 28 to 507 of the family's 1533-position model. The record is from RNAcentral.